This is an RNA transcript of Helianthus annuus (common sunflower), 1796 nucleotides long. RefSeq lists it as uncharacterized. The transcript has 10 exons. Lineage: Eukaryota; Viridiplantae; Streptophyta; Magnoliopsida; Asterales; Asteraceae. The record is from RefSeq and is a predicted model, not a curated record.
CCGUACAAUAAAUAAGAAUCACAAGUGUGACAUCUUCUGCUUCCACUUCGUCAUCCCACCACCGGAAUCUCGCCGGAGGAGGCAUCUCCGUCACCUCCUGAAUAAACAAUUCACAACAAAACACCUACAAAAAUGGUUUCAAUCUCCCUUUCACUUUCACCAAACCCUAACCACCUAUUAAACGAAACCGUUUUCUCCAGCCACUUUAUCCACCGUAUCGCCACCGUUUCCACUCUCUCCGGCCGCCAUAUGAUUGAUAGAACUUCGUUAUCAACGUCACCGGUAAACUAUCGGAGAGAGAAAGUUGCCGCCGUACGGACGGUUUCUGAUUCACACUCGUACGACGUCGUUGUAGUUGGCGCCGGAAUAAUCGGAUUGAGUAUUGCACGGCAGCUACUUAACGGAUCGGAUUUGUCCGUCGCCGUCGUCGACGCCGCCGUUCCGUGUUCCGGCGCUACCGGUGCAGGACAGGGCUACAUAUGGAUGGUUAAUAAGGUUCCGGGAAGCGAGAAAUGGGAGUUAGUAAUGAGAAGCCGUCAACUAUGGGAGAAAUUUGCGGAGGAUGUAAAGUAUCUGGGAAUGGAUCCUCAAGAGGUUCUUGGCUGGAAGAAGACAGGAAGCUUGUUGGUUGGUAAAACAUCGCAGGAAAUGGCAGCACUGAAAGAGAAGGUAGAGCAGCUAUCGAAAGCCGGGCUCAAGGCAGAGCUCUUGUCCAGCACCGAACUGCAGGAUUUAGAACCUGCACUUGUGAUUGGUGAGGAAGGCGGGGCUGCAUUUUUACCAGAUGAUUACCAACUGGAUGCUCGGCGUUCUGUUGCAUACAUUGAAAAGGAGAACAGGAAGUAUGCAACUGAAGGAAGAUACGGGGAGUAUUAUAAUCAGCCAUUGACUGGUUUGUUAAGGUCUGGUAAUGGUAAGAUUGAAGCCGUUCAGACGUCGAAAAAUUUAUUGUAUAGCAAGAAGGCAAUAGUAAUUGCCACUGGAUGCUGGACAGGCUCUUUGAUGCAAGAGCUGAUUAGGGAUUUCGGUAUUGAGUUUGAAGUCCCUGUAAAGCCCCGAAAGGGUCACCUACUGGUGAUAGAGAAUUUCAGCUCCUUCAAACUGAAUCAUGGUUCAAUGGAGGUAGGCUACCUUGGUCAUCGGGAUGCAAAUGAAACCUCAUCUAUUUCAAUGACUGCCACCAUGGAUACAUCGGGAAAUCUCGUUCUUGGAAGCAGCCGACAGUUUGUUGGAUUUAGCACAGAGAUAUCCAAGCAUAUCAUCAAUCAGAUAUGGGAACGUGCCGGGGAGUUUUUUCCUUCUUUAAGAGAACUUUCACUAACAGAUUUGGAGAAGACCAGAGAAGUCAGAGUAGGGCUAAGACCCUUCAGUAAUGCCUGGUGGAAAGCCUAUGAUUGGUCUUGUUCCUGGAUUGUCAAAUGCAUUCCUCGCUGCAGGCCAUGAGGGAGAAGGAUUGACUCUGGCCCUUGGAACUGCUGAAAUGGUUGCUGAUAUGGUUUUGGGCAAUCCCCCCAAAGUUGAUAAUGCACCCUAUGCGUUACAUACUCUUUCUUCUUGACAACAGGUGCUCGUGUGCUUUGAAUUAUGCUAACAAUGAGACUGCAUCCGGCUUCCAACUUCUUAGCAUUGUGUAACAUUAGUUUAACACGUGUGUACGCGUAUGUGUGUGAUCGCUUCACUAAAUAAAUACUUCUACUGUUUUGCAUGUUUUUUUUUUGUUAUCCCUGCCAAAUUGUGUCAGGUUAAAACAAUGUCUUAUAAAAUAAUCUUGAAAGCCAAUGAAAAAUAUUACAAUA